GUGUCCCUAAGCGUUCCUUGCAAGCACUUCAGACAGAGCUUUGGUUUCUCUCAUAUUAGAUUGAGAACUUAAUUAGAAGCUUGUCUGAAGUGUUUGGGGGAACUCCUGGUGUCAC
Molecule: microRNA precursor, 115 nt
Filed under: Leersia perrieri
Lineage: Eukaryota; Viridiplantae; Streptophyta; Magnoliopsida; Poales; Poaceae
Description: pre miRNA mir-395
Rfam family: mir-395 microRNA precursor family
About the family: mir-395 was identified in both Arabidopsis thaliana and Oryza sativa computationally and was later experimentally verified. mir-395 is thought to target mRNAs coding for ATP sulphurylases.
Source: Rfam by way of RNAcentral